Molecule: ribosomal RNA, 252 nt
Filed under: uncultured bacterium
Lineage: Bacteria
Description: partial 16S ribosomal RNA
Rfam family: Bacterial small subunit ribosomal RNA
Source: RNAcentral
UACGGAGGAUGCGAGCGUUAUCCGGAUUUAUUGGGUUUAAAGGGUGCGUAGGCGGUCCGUUAAGUCAGCGGUAAAAUUGCGGGGCUCAACCCCGUCGAGCCGUUGAAACUGGCAGACUUGAGUUGGCGAGAAGUACGCGGAAUGCGCGGUGUAGCGGUGAAAUGCAUAGAUAUCGCGCAGAACUCCGAUUGCGAAGGCAGCGUACCGGCGCCAGACUGACGCUGAGGCACGAAAGCGUGGGGAUCGAACAGG